GAAAUAAAGAAUUAGGGAUAAAAGAAUCAAAAUCUAAGUAGAACUAAAUUGAAAUAGUCCUUAAUUGCAAUAGUUCUUAAAGAUGACCUAAUUCAUUGCCUGCAAUUGUUCUACAGGCAAGGAAUCAGAUCCAGAGGGGAGACUUGGUUAAAUCGCAAAACUGGUUUGGAUCACAUAUUCCUCAAGAGAAUUAUCCUCAAAAAAACAGAAUCCUCAUGGGAUUGUAAUACACAGUUCCUGGAAUGUUUAUUAGUUUAGGUGAGAAACUUCUGUUGCUUCUAAAUUUAUAAAUGCCUUCUAGUGUUUCCAGUACUCUUAGGCUUUAGUUAUCUUUAGUUUUAUAUUUCCACAAAUGCUGAAGAGUUCUCAUAUUCUAUUCAG
Molecule: long non-coding RNA, 381 nt
Filed under: Bos indicus x Bos taurus (hybrid cattle)
Lineage: Eukaryota; Metazoa; Chordata; Mammalia; Artiodactyla; Bovidae
Description: lncRNA (ENSBIXG00005007619.1)
Source: RNAcentral